Molecule: long non-coding RNA, 810 nt
Filed under: Salvia miltiorrhiza (redroot sage)
Lineage: Eukaryota; Viridiplantae; Streptophyta; Magnoliopsida; Lamiales; Lamiaceae
Description: long non-coding RNA (SMIL_LNC001720)
Source: RNAcentral
UCUAUGCAAUCUGUACGCAAAUAAGACACGUUCUUUGAUGUUCCAGAAAUAUGGAUGAUCAAUAAAGACGGACAUAAAAUUUGGCAAGUUCUCCGUUGAUUUUGGGCUACUUUCCAUUUUAUCAAUCCUGCCAAGAAAAAUAAAAAUAAAUAAAGUAAUUUUGAACUAGAAAGUAUAACGCAAAAAUAAAUAAACAAUACUCACAACUUAUUUUGUCUUAUAAAAUCAAAGAAAUGGACAAGUUCGGAGGGAAGGUCCACGGAGAGAUUCUUAAUAUCAUGUCCACCUUUUUCAUGUGCCAUUGCUAUAAUGGAUGUCAUUGCAUCCACCAAGCUAUUCACAUCACUCUCUAUAUUCUGCCGCAUCAUGUGCACACUUUUCUGCUCGAAAUCCAAUGCAGGGUCCAUUGAAGGCAAAAUCCUACCUUUUCCAGUGUGGGUAGAGACAAAGAUAUUGUUAGCCAGAUUGCCACACAUCUUCUUCAUUCUAUAGAGGUAGAUAAGACCAUGGAUGACGCCCCUACGCAAAAACAUAAAAAUCUUUUAUAAUGAAAUCUAAUAAACGCACACUCCUAAAAUCUACAAAGAUAUUUCAUUUGUAAAAAGGAUACCUGAAAAUAAGUCGAAAUUUCAUUUGAAUGUGGUCCCACCACAUUUUGGUUGUUGAUCCUUUAAAUUCAGCAUAUUCUUUUUCAAAGUAUUGUUUAACUUGACACACCUUUUCAACCAUUAGUGCGUAUUUAUUACCACCACUCAACUCUUCUUGAUGAUGGAAGACAGAUACAAGAUUAUUAUCACUCAACUCUUGAAG